This 256-nucleotide ribosomal RNA is filed under the name uncultured bacterium. RNAcentral describes it as "partial 16S ribosomal RNA". It matches the Rfam family "Bacterial small subunit ribosomal RNA", at positions 524 to 776 of the family's 1533-position model. The record is from RNAcentral.
UACGUAGGGUGCAAGCGUUAAUCGGAAUUACUGGGCGUAAAGCGUGCGCAGGCGGUGAUGUAAGACAGUUGUGAAAUCCCCGGGCUCAACCUGGGAACUGCAUCUGUGACUGCAUCGCUGGAGUGCGGCAGAGGGGGAUGGAAUUCCGCGUGUAGCAGGUGAAAUGCGUAGAUAUGCGGAGAAACACCGAUGGCGAAGGGCAAUCCCCUGGGCCUGCACUGACGCUCCAUGCACGAAAGCGUGGGGAGCAAACAGG